Cucurbita moschata (crookneck pumpkin) is the source of this 95-nucleotide long non-coding RNA. RefSeq lists it as uncharacterized. NCBI's taxonomy places the organism in Eukaryota, Viridiplantae, Streptophyta, Magnoliopsida, Cucurbitales, Cucurbitaceae. The transcript is spliced from 2 exons. The record is from RefSeq and is a predicted model, not a curated record.
AGCAUUACCGACCCGUAAUUAAUCUUGUUGUUGUUGUGCUCUAGAAGGAAAGGAGCUUGACCCUCCUGUAAUGAAUAAGAGAAUAUUGUUGUUCU